Molecule: unclassified non-coding RNA, 294 nt
Filed under: Melitaea cinxia (Glanville fritillary)
Lineage: Eukaryota; Metazoa; Arthropoda; Insecta; Lepidoptera; Nymphalidae
Description: misc RNA ENSMCXG00005001781.1
Source: RNAcentral
UUAUUAUUUGUGUAAAAAGGUGUUUGGAAUAAUAAUCAUAGUGUAGGAGGUGAUAGACGUGCAAAAAAGUACGCGGUUUUAAAUAUCGCAACUUCUCGGCUCGACGUCGGUGACGCAGGUGAAGCUUACUUAUUUUGUAUUGAAUUACAUUUUAAAAACCAAAAAAAGACGAAGUUCUGAAAUAAUUCAUUUUGAGUAAUUUCUCAAUCAAAAGUAACAAAAAUUACAAAUACCUACACUACAAGCGUUGCGCGCCCACGGACUGGCGUAACAUAAUCGUCGACAAGUAACACA